RNAcentral lists this ribosomal RNA (2199 nucleotides) under Escherichia coli DEC10F. RNAcentral's name for it is "bacterial LSU rRNA". It matches the Rfam family "Bacterial large subunit ribosomal RNA", at positions 14 to 2239 of the family's 2925-position model. Lineage: Bacteria; Pseudomonadati; Pseudomonadota; Gammaproteobacteria; Enterobacterales; Enterobacteriaceae. The record is from RNAcentral.
AGCGUACACGGUGGAUGCCCUGGCAGUCAGAGGCGAUGAAGGACGUGCUAAUCUGCGAUAAGCGUCGGUAAGGUGAUAUGAACCGUUAUAACCGGCGAUUUCCGAAUGGGGAAACCCAGUGUGUUUCGACACACUAUCAUUAACUGAAUCCAUAGGUUAAUGAGGCGAACCGGGGAACUGAAACAUCUAAGUACCCCGAGGAAAAGAAAUCAACCGAGAUUCCCCCAGUAGCGGCGAGCGAACGGGGAGCAGCCCAGAGCCUGAAUCAGUGUGUGUGUUAGUGGAAGCGUCUGGAAAGGCGCGCGAUACAGGGUGACAGCCCCGUACACAAAAAUGCACAUGCUGUGAGCUCGAUGAGUAGGGCGGGACACGUGGUAUCCUGUCUGAAUAUGGGGGGACCAUCCUCCAAGGCUAAAUACUCCUGACUGACCGAUAGUGAACCAGUACCGUGAGGGAAAGGCGAAAAGAACCCCGGCGAGGGAGUGAAAAAGAACCUGAAACCGUGUACGUACAAGCAGUGGGAGCACGCUUAGGCGUGUGACUGCGUACCUUUUGUAUAAUGGGUCAGCGACUUAUAUUCUGUAGCAAGGUUAACCGAAUAGGGGAGCCGAAGGGAAACCGAGUCUUAACUGGGCGUUAAGUUGCAGGGUAUAGACCCGAAACCCGGUGAUCUAGCCAUGGGCAGGUUGAAGGUUGGGUAACACUAACUGGAGGACCGAACCGACUAAUGUUGAAAAAUUAGCGGAUGACUUGUGGCUGGGGGUGAAAGGCCAAUCAAACCGGGAGAUAGCUGGUUCUCCCCGAAAGCUAUUUAGGUAGCGCCUCGUGAAUUCAUCUCCGGGGGUAGAGCACUGUUUCGGCAAGGGGGUCAUCCCGACUUACCAACCCGAUGCAAACUGCGAAUACCGGAGAAUGUUAUCACGGGAGACACACGGCGGGUGCUAACGUCCGUCGUGAAGAGGGAAACAACCCAGACCGCCAGCUAAGGUCCCAAAGUCAUGGUUAAGUGGGAAACGAUGUGGGAAGGCCCAGACAGCCAGGAUGUUGGCUUAGAAGCAGCCAUCAUUUAAAGAAAGCGUAAUAGCUCACUGGUCGAGUCGGCCUGCGCGGAAGAUGUAACGGGGCUAAACCAUGCACCGAAGCUGCGGCAGCGACGCUGAUGCGUUGUUGGGUAGGGGAGCGUUCUGUAAGCCUGUGAAGGUGUGCUGUGAGGCAUGCUGGAGGUAUCAGAAGUGCGAAUGCUGACAUAAGUAACGAUAAAGCGGGUGAAAAGCCCGCUCGCCGGAAGACCAAGGGUUCCUGUCCAACGUUAAUCGGGGCAGGGUGAGUCGACCCCUAAGGCGAGGCCGAAAGGCGUAGUCGAUGGGAAACAGGUUAAUAUUCCUGUACUUGGUGUUACUGCGAAGGGGGACGGGGAAGGCUAUGUUGGCCGGGCGACGGUUGUCCCGGUUUAAGCGUGUAGGCUGGUUUUCCUAGGCAAAUCCGGAAAACUAAAGGCUGAGGCGUGAUGACGAGGCACUACGGUGCUGAAGCAACAAAUGCCCUGCUUCCAGGAAAAGCCUCUAAGCAUCAGGUAACAUCAAAUCGUACCCCAAACCGACACAGGUGGUCAGGUAGAGAAUACCAAGGCGCUUGAGAGAACUCGGGUGAAGGAACUAGGCAAAAUGGUGCCGUAACUUCGGGAGAAGGCACGCUGAUAUGUAGGUGAAGUCCCUCGCGGAUGGAGCUGAAAUCAGUCGAAGAUACCAGCUGGCUGCAACUGUUUAUUAAAAACACAGCACUGUGCAAACACGAAAGUGGACGUAUACGGUGUGACGCCUGCCCGGUGCCGGAAGGUUAAUUGAUGGGGUCAGCGCAAGCGAAGCUCUUGAUCGAAGCCCCGGUAAACGGCGGCCGUAACUAUAACGGUCCUAAGGUAGCGAAAUUCCUUGUCGGGUAAGUUCCGACCUGCACGAAUGGCGUAAUGAUGGCCAGGCUGUCUCCACCCGAGACUCAGUGAAAUUGAACUCGCUGUGAAGAUGCAGUGUACCCGCGGCAAGACGGAAAGACCCCGUGAACCUUUACUAUAGCUUGACACUGAACAUUGAGCCUUGAUGUGUAGGAUAGGUGGGAGGCUUUGAAGUGUGGACGCCAGUCUGCAUGGAGCCGACCUUGAAAUACCACCCUUUAAUGUUUGAUGUUCUAACGUUGACCCGUAAU